This 155-nucleotide small RNA is filed under the name Salmonella enterica. RNAcentral's name for it is "RtT sRNA". It matches the Rfam family "RtT RNA". From Rfam's summary of the family: This family represents a bacterial cis-regulatory element known as RtT RNA. The exact function of RtT is unknown although it is thought that it may be involved in changing the cellular response in relation to amino acid starvation. Lineage: Bacteria; Pseudomonadati; Pseudomonadota; Gammaproteobacteria; Enterobacterales; Enterobacteriaceae. The record is from RNAcentral.
UUGCUAUCUGCGAUAUGGAAGAUUCGAACCUGCCGCAGGUUCUGGACUCACGCAGUGAGACAACGGAGCCGCUUGCGGCGACGGCCCGAAGGGCGAGCGNUUUAGCAACGGCCCGAAGGGCGAGGCAAAGCCGAGUCAUCCUGCACGACCCACCA